RNAcentral lists this ribosomal RNA (396 nucleotides) under uncultured bacterium. RNAcentral's name for it is "partial 16S ribosomal RNA". It matches the Rfam family "Bacterial small subunit ribosomal RNA", at positions 338 to 731 of the family's 1533-position model. The record is from RNAcentral.
CCUACGGGAGGCAGCAGUGAGGAAUAUUGGUCAAUGGGCGGGAGCCUGAACCAGCCAAGUAGCGUGAAGGAUGACUGCCCUACGGUUUGUAAACUUCUUUUAUAAAGGAGUAAAGUGAUGCACGUGUGCCUUUUUGUAUGUACUUUAUGAAUAAGGAUCGGCUAACUCCGUGCCAGCAGCCGCGGUAAUACGGAGGAUCCGAGCGUUAGCCGGAUUUAUUGGGUUUAAAGGGCGCGUAGAUGGGUUGUUAAGUCAGUUGUGAAAGGUUGCGGCUUAACCGGAAAAUUGCAAUUGAUACUGGCAGCCUUGAGUACAGUAGAGGUAGGCAGAAUUCGUGGUGUAGCGGUGAAAUGCUUAGAUAUCACGAAGAACUCCGAUUGCGAAGGCAGCCUACUA